CUGCUCACUUCGGUAGCACACAUACUAAAACUGGAAUGAUACAGAGAUUAGCAUGGCCCCUGUGCAGGGAUGACAUGCAAAUUCGUGAAGUGUUCCAUAUUUUU
Ochotona princeps (American pika) is the source of this 104-nucleotide small nuclear RNA. The record is from RefSeq and is a predicted model, not a curated record. Lineage: Eukaryota; Metazoa; Chordata; Mammalia; Lagomorpha; Ochotonidae.